CCUACGGGAGGCAGCAGUGAGGAAUAUUGGUCAAUGGACGAGAGUCUGAACCAGCCAAGUAGCGUGAAGGAUGACUGCCCUAUGGGUUGUAAACUUCUUUUAUAAAGGAAUAAAACGAGGCACGUGUGCCUUUUUGCAUGUACUUUAUGAAUAAGGAUCGGCUAACUCCGUGCCAGCAGCCGCGGUAAUACGGAGGAUCCGAGCGUUAUCCGGAUUUAUUGGGUUUAAAGGGAGCGUAGAUGGGUUGUUAAGUCAGUUGUGAAAGUUUGCGGCUCAACCGUAAAAUUGCAAUUGAUACUGGCAGUCGUGAGUACAGUUGAGGUAGGCGGAAUUCGUGGUGUAGCGGUGAAAUGCUUAGAUAUCGCGAAGAACCCCGAUUGCGAAGACAGCUUACUAAACUGUGACUGACAUUGAUGCUCGAAAGUGUGGGUAUCAAACAGGAUUAGAUACCCCAGUAGUC
Molecule: ribosomal RNA, 460 nt
Filed under: uncultured bacterium
Lineage: Bacteria
Description: partial 16S ribosomal RNA
Rfam family: Bacterial small subunit ribosomal RNA
Source: RNAcentral